CCUGGCUCAGGACGAACGCUGGCGGCGUGCCUAAUACAUGCAAGUCGAGCGAAUCGAUGGGAGCUUGCUCCCUGAGAUUAGCGGCGGACGGGUGAGUAACACGUGGGCAACCUGCCUAUAAGACUGGGAUAACUUCGGGAAACCGGAGCUAAUACCGGAUACGUUCUUUUCUCGCAUGAGAGAAGAUGGAAAGACGGUUUACGCUGUCACUUAUAGAUGGGCCCGCGGCGCAUUAGCUAGUUGGUGAGGUAAUGGCUCACCAAGGCGACGAUGCGUAGCCGACCUGAGAGGGUGAUCGGCCACACUGGGACUGAGACACGGCCCAGACUCCUACGGGAGGCAGCAGUAGGGAAUCUUCCGCAAUGGACGAAAGUCUGACGGAGCAACGCCGCGUGAACGAAGAAGGCCUUCGGGUCGUAAAGUUCUGUUGUUAGGGAAGAACAAGUACCAGAGUAACUGCUGGUACCUUGACGGUACCUAACCAGAAAGCCACGGCUAACUACGUGCCAGCAGCCGCGGUAAUACGUAGGUGGCAAGCGUUGUCCGGAAUUAUUGGGCGUAAAGCGCGCGCAGGUGGUUCCUUAAGUCUGAUGUGAAAGCCCACGGCUCAACCGUGGAGGGUCAUUGGAAACUGGGGAACUUGAGUGCAGAAGAGGAAAGUGGAAUUCCAAGUGUAGCGGUGAAAUGCGUAGAGAUUUGGAGGAACACCAGUGGCGAAGGCGACUUUC
RNAcentral lists this ribosomal RNA (728 nucleotides) under Peribacillus simplex. Its description in RNAcentral is "bacterial SSU rRNA". It matches the Rfam family "Bacterial small subunit ribosomal RNA", at positions 18 to 729 of the family's 1533-position model. Lineage: Bacteria; Bacillati; Bacillota; Bacilli; Caryophanales; Bacillaceae. The record is from RNAcentral.